RNAcentral lists this ribosomal RNA (461 nucleotides) under uncultured Streptococcus sp. RNAcentral's name for it is "bacterial SSU rRNA". It matches the Rfam family "Bacterial small subunit ribosomal RNA", at positions 920 to 1382 of the family's 1533-position model. The record is from RNAcentral. Lineage: Bacteria; Bacillati; Bacillota; Bacilli; Lactobacillales; Streptococcaceae.
CCCGGCACAAGCGAUGGAGCAUGUGGUUUAAUUCGAAGCAACGCGAAGAACCUUACCAGGUCUUGACAUCCCGAUGCUAUUUCUAGAGAUAGAAGUUACUUCGGUACAUCGGUGACAGGUGGUGCAUGGUUGUCGUCAGCUCGUGUCGUGAGAUGUUGGGUUAAGUCCCGCAACGAGCGCAACCCCUAUUGUUAGUUGCCAUCAUUCAGUUGGGCACUCUAGCGAGACUGCCGGUAAUAAACCGGAGGAAGGUGGGAUGACGUCAAAUCAUCAUGCCCCUUAUGACCUGGGCUACACACGUGCUACAAUGGUUGGUACAACGAGUUGCGAGUCGGUGACGGCGAGCUAAUCUCUUAAAGCCAAUCUCAGUUCGGAUUGUAGGCUGCAACUCGCCUACAUGAAGUCGGAAUCGCUAGUAAUCGCGGAUCAGCACGCCGCGGUCGAAUACGUUCCCGGGCCUU